This is a non-coding RNA of Odocoileus virginianus texanus, 338 nucleotides long. The record is from RefSeq and is a predicted model, not a curated record. Lineage: Eukaryota; Metazoa; Chordata; Mammalia; Artiodactyla; Cervidae.
UCUGCAUCUCCUGCAUUGGCAGGUGAAUUCUUUACUGCUGAGCCACCAGGAUAUAUUUGUUGUGAAAGUUAAUAAUAACAUACAUGAAGAACUCUCAGUCUCCCUGGAGAAAUGACACUUGCUUGAAUGGGAAGCAUCAAUUAGUGAUGUUUGGAGAAGAGAGUAUACCACACUUUGGGAGCAGCAUGAGUGAACCAGAGCACAAAGGAAGAAGUGGGAACUAACUUUGAGGCAGAAUAUCCUUUGUUUUGGAAAGAGCUAUCCUCUACAUUAGAAGAACCUCUACGUUAGAAGAACCCCCACGUUAGAAGAACCCCCACUGCCAACUGCCAGGGAGA